RNAcentral lists this ribosomal RNA (173 nucleotides) under Clostridioides difficile. RNAcentral describes it as "partial 23S ribosomal RNA". It matches the Rfam family "Bacterial large subunit ribosomal RNA", at positions 2757 to 2925 of the family's 2925-position model. Lineage: Bacteria; Bacillati; Bacillota; Clostridia; Peptostreptococcales; Peptostreptococcaceae. The record is from RNAcentral.
GGAAUGGAUAAGCGCUGAAAGCAUCUAAGCGCGAAGCCAACUUCAAGAUAAGAUUUCCCACCGCAAGGGUAAGACCCCAGAAAGACUAUCUGGUUGCUAGGUCGAAGGUGUAAGUGCAGCAAUGUAUUUAGCUUAUCGAUACUAAUAGGUCGAGGACUUGACCAAUAUUUAUU